RNAcentral lists this ribosomal RNA (429 nucleotides) under Pseudomonadota bacterium. RNAcentral describes it as "Proteobacteria bacterium partial 16S ribosomal RNA". It matches the Rfam family "Bacterial small subunit ribosomal RNA", at positions 355 to 776 of the family's 1533-position model. Lineage: Bacteria; Pseudomonadati; Pseudomonadota. The record is from RNAcentral.
UGGGGAAUAUUGGACAAUGGGCGAAAGCCUGAUCCAGCCAUGCCGCGUGUGUGAAGAAGGUCUUCGGAUUGUAAAGCAUUUUAAGUUGGGAGGAAGGGCAGUAAGCGAAUACCUUGCUGUUUUGACGUUACCGACAGAAUAAGCACCGGCUAACUCUGUGCCAGCAGCCGCGGUAAUACAGAGGGUGCAAGCGUUAAUCGGAAUUACUGGGCGUAAAGCGCGCGUAGGUGGUUCGUUAAGUUGAAUGUGAAAGCCCCGGGCUCAACCUGGGAACUGCAUCCAAAACUGGCGAGCUAGAGUAGGGCAGAGGGUGGUGGAAUUUCCUGUGUAGCGGUGAAAUGCGUAGAUAUAGGAAGGAACGCCAGUGGCGAAGGCGACCGCCUGGGCUCAUACUGACACUGAGGUGCGAAAGCGUGGGGAGCAAACAGG